AGUGGCGGACGGGUGAGUAACGCGUGGGUAACCUGCCUCAUACAGGGGGAUAACAGUUAGAAAUGACUGCUAAUACCGCAUAAGCCACAGCACCGCAUGGUGCAGGGGUAAAAACUCCGGUGGUAUGAGAUGGACCCGCGUCUGAUUAGGUAGUUGGUGGGGUAACGGCCUACCAAGCCGACGAUCAGUAGCCGACCUGAGAGGGUGACCGGCCACAUUGGGACUGAGACACGGCCCAA
Molecule: ribosomal RNA, 239 nt
Filed under: uncultured bacterium
Lineage: Bacteria
Description: partial 16S ribosomal RNA
Rfam family: Bacterial small subunit ribosomal RNA
Source: RNAcentral